AUACUCAGAUCGAGCUGCUGCAUAUGCUUUUGGAAACAUCGAUCCAACAAACAUCUCACGGGUAUUCCUUCUUGGUCUAUCACACCAUUAUUACACUCCAAAAUGUGCUCUCUCGACAGCUACAGUUUACCAGACACCAAUAGGGGACCUACCUAUUGAUUUGGAAGUCAUUGACGAACUGAAAGCCACAGGAAAAUCUGAAUCGAAGAAUCUCCGAGUAGAUGAAACUGAGCAUAGCAUGGAAAUGCACUUGCCAUGUCUUUCAGAAGUGUUUGAGGGG
Hibiscus syriacus is the source of this 280-nucleotide long non-coding RNA. RefSeq lists it as uncharacterized. Lineage: Eukaryota; Viridiplantae; Streptophyta; Magnoliopsida; Malvales; Malvaceae. The record is from RefSeq and is a predicted model, not a curated record. The transcript has 3 exons.